RNAcentral lists this ribosomal RNA (456 nucleotides) under Anopheles gambiae (African malaria mosquito). RNAcentral's name for it is "eukaryotic large subunit ribosomal RNA". It matches the Rfam family "Eukaryotic large subunit ribosomal RNA", at positions 3005 to 3399 of the family's 3401-position model. The record is from RNAcentral. Lineage: Eukaryota; Metazoa; Arthropoda; Insecta; Diptera; Culicidae.
UCGCUAUCUUAACGGAAUUCCUGUGCAGUACGAGAGGAACCACAGGUACGGACCACUGGCUCAAUACUAGUCCGACCGGACUUUGGUAUGACGCUACGUCCGCUGGAUUAUGCCUGAACGCCUCUAAGGUCGUAGCCAAUCCGAGCUGAUAGCGCUUCUCAAACCCAUUAGGUGUUCGGAAGCUAGCGGGCCUAACAACCCUCUGAGAUCCGUUGGAGUCUGCGUCUGCAGCCCGGCGUCUCAUCCCGCUAUACCUAGGCCGCAACGAGUGGAGUUCGCUGCACGUGUUAGUACCGUAACUGGGAACGCCGUUGGCUUGAGCUCUGCCCAACGUGGAUAUACCUAGUUUCGACACCUAUCAACCGCCCGCAAACGACGGGACUUCAGGCUGGGAGCUGCGAGUUGUAGAGAUGCGUUCGCAUCGAUCCUCUCAGGCGACCCAUGCUUGGUGGUUUG